ACAUUAGCAGAUGUUACUUAGACCUAUUCGUCGACUCUGUCUCCGUCUCCAACAAUACGAACUGGAACGUCUCAUUGGUUGCUGAUAGUCCUUUCACAUUUUGUCAGUUAUCUCUCUUCACAGUUAACGGCCAACUCUUACAAGGAGGUAGGGUUAUGGCUGACAGGCUGAGUCAACCACACCCUACUCUUGUGAGCAAUUAGUUAAUCACACACCAAUUUCAACAGUCGGCUUCACCACGCGGAAGCUAGACAGCAUAAAAGAUGGCCAUGUGGUUUGGGACACCGGGGUCAAGAUCAUUGCCCGCGUCCAAGCGGGCACUAGUCUUAAAAAAAAGGGAUUGUUGAGGGUGACAGGCAGUGAUUUGCCGGUUAGGUUUCUGUUGGAUCCAGAAGGGAACAUGAAAGGAUCGUUGGUCGGAAACAUGAAACGUUGUGAAUACUUGUUUAACAGCAGCUUGGAUAAUUCCCUUUAGCCUUGGGCUAGCUUUUGGUUAGAAUGUUAUGAACGGUGACAGUGGUUAUGAUUGAGAGGAACAUAUGUGGUGGUCCCAAAUAUUCGAGUUAUCUUUUUAUAUUGUUUGUUAUCUAUAGGCUUAUUUAUUGUUGUUUUUUUAACUUCAUCGUUUAUUAGUUUGCAAUCCCUCAAAUAUGAGUUUUCUUAGACCUCGAAUUGACUUACAUUGCAUAGUAAAUAUAAGAGCUUGAAAAUCCCCUUCUAAGAGUGACAAAACUUUUACUCAUUUAGUUUUGACCCAUUCCUUUAACCACACCAUUUUUUUUUUUUUAAAACUCUAUCGGCUGAUCCGGUCAGUCCCGGUAGAAAUGCACUGAAAUACUUUAGAGUGGACUUCUUUCAGAAGGAUCACCACACUGUCUGUUCCGAGUUUGAAUGCUUUCAGACUAAUGCUAGGGGAUAGUCAAACCACCUACAUUUCUGACUACCAGAUAAACCAAUUAGGUCAAGACCCAACUGACAGACUUUCCAAACAAAUGUAAUUUUUUGUUUCCAGAGAGGAUCGAACUCAAGUCUGAGAGUUUCACCUUUCCCCAAAGUUUCCCCUACCACUGGACCACAGAUGCUUGGGCUUAAACACACCAUUCUCAUCGCGUAUGAUCUAACCAGACUUAAUACAUCCUUCUUGUGAUCUCACACAAUGUUUGUUCUCAUCUUUUUAGUCCAAUGUUGUAUAACGUGCUAGGCGCUUGUUGGUAGCACACCUAGAUGAACAAA
Molecule: small RNA, 1233 nt
Filed under: Arabidopsis thaliana (thale cress)
Lineage: Eukaryota; Viridiplantae; Streptophyta; Magnoliopsida; Brassicales; Brassicaceae
Description: ATSL171890
Source: RNAcentral